RNAcentral lists this transfer-messenger RNA (276 nucleotides) under Oceanospirillaceae bacterium. Its description in RNAcentral is "partial transfer-messenger RNA". It matches the Rfam family "transfer-messenger RNA", at positions 82 to 374 of the family's 374-position model. Rfam says of the family: Bacterial tmRNA, also known as 10Sa RNA or SsrA, is named for its dual tRNA and mRNA-like properties. Its role is to liberate the mRNA from a stalled ribosome. To accomplish this part of the tmRNA is used as a reading frame that ends in a translation stop signal. The record is from RNAcentral. Lineage: Bacteria; Pseudomonadati; Pseudomonadota; Gammaproteobacteria; Oceanospirillales; Oceanospirillaceae.
UUAAUAGUCGCAAACGACGAAAACUACGCUUUAGCAGCCUAAACCGCUGCUAGUGUGCUGCCCUCAGGUUGCUUGUAGCCAGAGAUUCUGCAGUAUCAUAAAUUACAAGAUGCUAACCGAUGCCCUGCCUAGGGAUAAGGUUCUAAGAUUAAGUAGGCUCGCCAUUAACACCCUGUCCUUCGGGCGGUUCGUGGUCAAAUAAUAGAAGUGACUAUGCAUGUAGAUCCGAUGGCAGAGGACUGGCGGACGGGGGUUCGAAUCCCCCCAUCUCCACCA